This 452-nucleotide ribosomal RNA is filed under the name uncultured bacterium. RNAcentral describes it as "bacterial SSU rRNA". It matches the Rfam family "Bacterial small subunit ribosomal RNA", at positions 29 to 507 of the family's 1533-position model. The record is from RNAcentral.
AAUGAACGUUGGCGGCUGGAUUAGGCAUGCAAGUCGAGCGAGGAAAGUGGUAGCAAUACUUCUUAUUCGAGCGGCGUAAGGGGCAGUAAUACCUGGGAACGUACCCUCGGGUCGGGGAUAGCUGCUAGAAAUGGCGAGUAAUACCCGAUGAUCUCGAGAGAGCAAAGGCUUGCCGCCCAAGGAGCGGCCCAGGCGAUAUUAGCUAGUUGGUGAGGUAAAGGCUUACCAAGGCAUAGAUGUCUAGCGGGUGUGAGAGCACGACCCGCGCCACUGGCACUGAGACACUGGCCAGACACCUACGGGUGGCUGCAGUCGAGAAUCUUCGGCAAUGAGCGCAAGCUUGACCGAGCGACGCCGCGUGCGGGAUGAAGGCCUUCGGGUUGUAAACCGCUUUGGUCCGAGAGAAAGGGCAACUUGAUCGAUCGGAGAAACAAGGACGGGCUAAGUUCGUG